CGGCGGCGGCCAGUGUCAGGUAGAAGGUCUGCUUGUCGGCGCCCAGGUAGCAGGCGGAGAAGACCGCCGCGGUCUUGGGCGUGGUGGUGCCGGUGGCGUACAGCUGGAAGAUGUUGUUGCAGUCGGCGGGGGACAGGCCGGAGCUGGGCACGGAGGCGGCCACGGGCAGCGUCACCUGGAGCGACUUGGGGCCAGUCAGGGUGGCGGAGCUGAUGGAGGGGUAGAUUACGACGGCACCGCUGGGCUUGGUGGUGUACAGAAGAGUGAUGGCAGCUGUGGGCUUCAGGUAGUUGGUCGCGGCGGCGGCGGCCUGGUCCGCGGCCACCGACAGGGUGGUGCCGGGCACCCAGUUCGCGGUGGCCAGAGUCACGGUGGUGGUGUACGGUGCAGUGAAAUCAGAGCCCGGGUUGCUGCAGCCGGCAAUGGUCGCAGUGCCGCCAGUGAGGCUGAAGAUUGUCGAGCAGUCCGCAGGAGAAGCGAUGUCAUCAUCGCAGGUGUCGCCGGUGGUGCCCUUGGAGCAACCGGUGAAGCUCCCAGUGCAAGUGGGAACCACCAGGCCGGUGCCGCCACAAGAGAAGGUUAUUGCGCAAUUUGCGGUGCCAGUGAAGGGGCUCUUGCAAGUGGGGGCGGUGGAUGCAGUGCAGGUAGGUCCGGUAGCCGAGACGCAAGCGAACUUUCCACUGGAACUACAUGUUGGCAUGCCAGAUAUCCAGCCUGU
This 718-nucleotide long non-coding RNA is filed under the name Chlamydomonas reinhardtii. RNAcentral describes it as "long non-coding RNA (CREI_LNC000745)". The record is from RNAcentral. Lineage: Eukaryota; Viridiplantae; Chlorophyta; Chlorophyceae; Chlamydomonadales; Chlamydomonadaceae.